This 508-nucleotide ribosomal RNA is filed under the name uncultured bacterium. RNAcentral's name for it is "partial 16S ribosomal RNA". It matches the Rfam family "Bacterial small subunit ribosomal RNA", at positions 28 to 523 of the family's 1533-position model. The record is from RNAcentral.
GAUGAACGCUAGCUACAGGCUUAACACAUGCAAGUCGAGGGGAAACGACAUCGAAAGCUUGCUUUUGAUGGGCGUCGACCGGCGCACGGGUGAGUAACGCGUAUCCAACCUGCCCACCACUUGGGGAUAACCUUGCGAAAGUAAGACUAAUACCCAAUGACGUCUCUAGAAGACAUCUGAAAGAGAUUAAAGAUUUAUCGGUGAUGGAUGGGGAUGCGUCUGAUUAGCUUGUUGGCGGGGUAACGGCCCACCAAGGCGACGAUCAGUAGGGGUUCUGAGAAGAAGGUCCCCCACAUUGGAACUGAGACACGGUCCAAACUCCUACGGGAGGCAGCAGUGAGGAAUAUUGGUCAAUGGGCGAGAGCCUGAACCAGCCAAGUAGCGUGCAGGAUGACGGCCCUAUGGGUUGUAAACUGCUUUUAUAAGGGAAUAAAGUGAGUCUCGUGAGACUUUUUGCAUGUACCUUAUGAAUAAGGACCGGCUAAUUCCGUGCCAGCAGCCGCCGCGG